GUGGGGAAUAUUGGACAAUGGGCGAAAGCCUGAUCCAGCCAUGCCGCGUGUGUGAAGAAGGUCUUCGGAUUGUAAAGCACUUUAAGUUGGGAGGAAGGGCAGUAAGUUAAUACCUUGCUGUUUUGACGUUACCGACAGAAUAAGCACCGGCUAACUUCGUGCCAGCAGCCGCGGUAAUACGAAGGGUGCAAGCGUUAAUCGGAAUUACUGGGCGUAAAGCGUGCGCAGGCGGUUAUAUAAGACAGAUGUGAAAUCCCCGGGCUCAACCUGGGAACUGCCUCCAAAACUGCAUGACUAGAGUACGGUAGAGGGUAGUGGAAUUUCCUGUGUAGCGGUGAAAUGCGUAGAUAUAGGAAGGAACACCAGUGGCGAAGGCGACUACCUGGACUGAUACUGACACUGAGGUGCGAAAGCGUGGGGAGCAAACAGGAUUAGAAACCCCAGUAGUCC
RNAcentral lists this ribosomal RNA (450 nucleotides) under uncultured bacterium. RNAcentral's name for it is "partial 16S ribosomal RNA". It matches the Rfam family "Bacterial small subunit ribosomal RNA", at positions 354 to 796 of the family's 1533-position model. The record is from RNAcentral.